GAUGAACGCUAGCGGCGUGCCUAAUGCAUGCAAGUCGAACGGGACCCUUUGGACUCGUCUGAAGGUGAGAGUGGCGAACGGGUGAGUAACACGUUGGUGACCUACCCCAGAGAGGGGGAUAACCAUUGGAAACGAUGGCUAAUACCCCAGAUGUCAUUACUGUUAGAGGGUAAUGACUAAAGCUCCGGCGCUCUGGGAGGGGCCUGCGGCCCAUCAGCUAGUUGGUAGGGUAAUGGCCUACCAAGGCAAAGACGGGUAGGGGGCGUGAGAGCGUGACCCCCCACACUGGUACUGACGCACGGACCAGAUACCUACGGGUAGCAGCAGCAAGGAAUAUUGCCCAAUGGACGCAAGUCUGAGGCAGCAACGCCGCGUGGAGGAUGAAGGCCUUCGGGUUGUAAACUCCUUUUCUGGGGGAAGAGAAAGGACGGUACCCCAGGAAUAAGUCUCGGCUAACUACGUG
This 463-nucleotide ribosomal RNA is filed under the name uncultured bacterium. Its description in RNAcentral is "bacterial SSU rRNA". It matches the Rfam family "Bacterial small subunit ribosomal RNA", at positions 28 to 507 of the family's 1533-position model. The record is from RNAcentral.